RNAcentral lists this small nuclear RNA (19 nucleotides) under Arabidopsis thaliana (thale cress). RNAcentral's name for it is "snRNA_00455". The record is from RNAcentral. Lineage: Eukaryota; Viridiplantae; Streptophyta; Magnoliopsida; Brassicales; Brassicaceae.
AUACGGGCGAGAGACCGAU